AUGGGGAGGGAGUGGAUAGGUGGAUUCGUUACCCUCUCCUCCGCUUGCCCCUCCUCGUUCCUCUGCCCCACGACCCCCCACGCCCCAGUUCGAUCCGCCCCAGACCUUGGCUGGCUUCGUCCCAAACUGCUUUCAUGGCCCCCCCCCACGAGGUUUGCCCCCUGCUGUGGUGAAGCGAAACGGGAGGCUCGGGUCCCCGGGCGUGUGUGGACGCCCCCUUGCUGGAUCAAACCAGUUCGCGUGCUCACGCUGGUCCCGGAAAGGCGGGGGGGGCUUUCUUCUCCCGCGGGGCGAAACUCUCCCGGUCCCCCGAAACCUGGGGCCACAUCUCUGCUCACCCCCAGCUCCGGAGCCAGGCAGGGAGGGAACCGGCGCUUUCCUGGCCCCCGCGGUGGAGCCGAGGAAAGGAACCGACUUCGCUGCAGCCGGCCGAGGCCCCGGCCUGCUUCGUCCUCCUCGCACGUCGGGGGGGGGCGACACCGCUUUCUGCUCGGUCGCCCGGGGCCGCUGUUUCUUUCCGUUUUCACGGUUGCGCAAAGUGACGGGCGAGGGGGGGGGGAGAGCCGCCGGUUUCUGAAUGACGGCGGCUGUUGGGAACCAAACCGUCCGCACGUUAUAAGCCAUUAAACCCCCCUGGCCCCGGUAAACGCUCAGAAGGCAGAGGAAUAACAGUGGGCUUUGGCCGCGUCUUUUCUUGCUUCGCCUUGUGGCCGGGCUCAAUGCGUCUCCUUUGCGGGUGCCUGAAAACCAACGGCUCCCGAGCUUAAUGGUCACUCUCCUGGGCUAGGACAUGGCAAAUGGGCGCAUGUAAACCCGGUCGAAAUCAGUUCUGUUAAACCAGAGUGAAACCUCCUCCCCGCUCCCAAGUGUAGACGCGCUUCACCCAGCUUCGUAGCAGCAGCAAUGAUUUCUGGGCGGGGAAAGCACAGAUCUGCCCCACAUCCAGUGGGAGUUGAGUCACUAGCCAGCCAGGGGGGUGUCGGUUUGGGGGAAGCGAGUGAAUAGCCUAGCGAUUCGGGCCAGGUGCAGAUCCG
This 1034-nucleotide long non-coding RNA is filed under the name Gopherus agassizii (Agassiz's desert tortoise). RNAcentral's name for it is "lncRNA (ENSGAGG00000006733.1)". Lineage: Eukaryota; Metazoa; Chordata; Testudines; Testudinidae. The record is from RNAcentral.